Molecule: long non-coding RNA, 1742 nt
Organism: Papaver somniferum (opium poppy)
Lineage: Eukaryota; Viridiplantae; Streptophyta; Magnoliopsida; Ranunculales; Papaveraceae
Exons: 2
Source: RefSeq, a predicted model, not a curated record
CAUCUUCGUCGCUCUCUGGAAAAACAGACCGCCACCGUCUCCAUCGCUCCCACCACCACCACUAUCUUUAUUUCUCCCACCACCACCACCACCACCACUUCCCAAGCCAUCGGUUUAGAUCGAUUUUCAACUAUAAACAUAAAUCUAGUGAUGAAUCAACGAUAAACUAAAUCCUAAAACCUAAUCUCGAGCAUCGAUUGGGAAGAGGCGAUGAGAAUCCACCACCACCACCUCAUCCUAAAUCGAUUAUAGACCGAUUUCAACUUUCCUCAGCUAUAAAAAUUUAAUAUGGCGAUGAAUCAGUGAGAACCUAAUCUCCAACACUCAAUCUUGAUCAUUAGAAACAUUAGAUUUAUUUCGAUUUCAGUUUGAAGAACUCAAAAUCGAUGAUAACAAUGUUUGUUUAUGAGACUUGGAUGUAUCAAAUGUGAAAAGAGGAUGAAAAUAGUCAUCAACUAGUGGAUCUAAGGAUUCAAUCAUCACAAGCGAAUUAAAAGAUAAGUCGAUCUCUUACUGUUAUUAUUACCUAAAUUGGAUCUUGGUUUUGAUUUUUGGUGUUGAUUCAACGUGAUUUCUUUAUUUAUUUUGAGCUCUUGGUUGUUUAUUCAUCUCUGAAAUAGGCAAAUUUCUCCAUGUCUUGUUAUUCCAGGCAAAAGUGUUGUUGGUGGUAGAUGUUGUGGCACUGGUGUUGGUCCUGUUGUUAUUGUUGUGGUUGUGGACACUUGUUACAAUGGAGUGGAUGGUGGUAGCUUUCCUGUGGUAGUGAGGUUGGUGGGUGCUGGUGGUAUUAUAUUUAUGGAGGUAGUGAUGGUAGAGUUUCAUAGAGUUAAUUGGUUUGUUUAGUUUUGAGUUAAUUUACUGUGUUUUAGAUUAAGUCAAUUGAAUUGGAUUGGUGGUGGUCUUAGUGGUAAUAAAUUCAGUGGAUGAUUUGUUAGGUUGGUGGUUACUGGAUUGGUGUUGGAAUGGUGAUACUGUUGGGUUGGUGGUAGUAUUACUUAUAUGUAGUAAACUCAGUGGUGAUGGUGAUUUGUUGGGGUUGGUGGUUGCUGGACUGGUGUUGUAUUGGUGAUACUGUUGGGUUGGUGGUAGUAAUACUUCUAUAGAUUACAACACGAGCACAACCUUCUAUAAUUUAAUAAUUUGAAGGAACAUGUCUUAAGAGUUGGAGAAGAGGUUUCAGUUCCAUUUUUGCAAGAAAUAUUGCAGUAGCAAUGUUAGACGAACCUGUGGUGUAAUGGUUUCACAACUGACUCUAGUCAGAAGAUGCGUGUUCGAUUCACGUCAGGCUCACUGAUUUUAGUAAAUCAAUUUUUGGGGAUCAAUUUUGGUUGUUGACAUUAGAUUUUGGCAUCAACUUUGAUUGUUGACACGAUUUUUUGAGAUCAAGUUUGGUUGUUGACGCUAUACAUAAUUUGUACAUUUUUUGAAUUUUUAAUUUUCGUAUCAACUUGGGUUGUUGACACUAAAUUUUUGUUAACUUUGGUUGUUGAUACCUUAUUUUGGGAUCAACUUUGGUUGUUGACACUAUUUUUUAUUUUACUGAUUUUUGUUUUCGGGAUCAACUUCGGUUGACGCCAUCUUUUUUAUUAUUAUUUUCUGAUUUUUUUAUCCUUGCGUUGUUAGAGGCCACUCAAAAAGAAUUAGGGGCCACUUUUUUAUUCUCAUCCAUUAAAGGAGGUUAAGGGUGUCUUAAAAAUAGAAAAUUGUCUAUAUUGUCCUUCACCUUUAUACUAAAUCUAAAC